RNAcentral lists this long non-coding RNA (4399 nucleotides) under Salmo salar (Atlantic salmon). RNAcentral's name for it is "lncRNA (ENSSSAG00000091538.1)". Lineage: Eukaryota; Metazoa; Chordata; Actinopteri; Salmoniformes; Salmonidae. The record is from RNAcentral.
GUCACAGCCACCAUCUUCUGUGAAGUCAGACUAACAGUAUGUAUGUAGCUGUCUAAAUAAUGACCUUGUUCAUCCCUGAUAUGGCUGGUCGUCUGUUUUUGCUCAUCCUCCUUUUCGAUCUUCCUCAGCCCAGUCUGACAGUGAUUCCUGCAGUCAUCAAAGAGAGAGACUCAGUUCAGCUGAACUGUCAGACUCCAUCUGUCUCUGAGUGUUACUUCAAAAUGGAAGGGCAAGUGGAAUUCACCCUACCAUCACCCUGUCAACAGACACUCACAGGAACACUACUGGUGAGGUGGACAGGUCAGAGUUCACCAGCUGAGGUCAAAAUACAAUGUCAGUACAGUGCUACAGGUUCACAGUUUAGAUCCAUGUACAGUGAGCCUUCAACAGUCACAAUUCAGGACAUUCCUCAGCUGACAGUGAGUUCUACAGUCAUCAGAGAGACAGAAUCAGUUCAGCUGAGUUGUGAGACUCCUCCAUCUCGCCAUGUGUCUAACUGUUACUUCUACAUAGAGGUGGGGAAGAAUUUUCCAGGGUCAUUGUGUACGCAGACAAUAACAGGAACUGAGCUGCUGAAGAGGGCAGGUCCAACAUUUCCAGCUGUGGUCAAAGUGAAAUGUUACUAUGCUGUAGGGAGGUCUCACACAUCUCCUUUAAGUAACCCUGUCUCAGUCACUGUUCAGGAUCCAAAACCAGACAUUACAGUCCAAUUUGAUGAGGACUUCACCAUCAUCUGUUUGAUUCCUGGAUCGGUCAGUCCUGACAGCACCUGUAACCUGUAUGUUGGAGAGGAGAGUCAGCCAUCCUUCACAGCAAAGACCAAGAAGAGACAAUCCACCUCAGCACCCAGACAGGAGUUCUGUCAAUUCACUCCAAAUCAUAGUGAUCUGAUCAGUGGUCUACAGUCAGUGAGGAGUAAGGAGGUGAGCUGUGAUUACAGAGUGAGCUCUGGACCAAACUCUCUCUCUCCACGCAGUGAUGGGUACAGCUUUACAGAUCUGGUGGGAGUUCACAUCAGUGAUCCAACAACUGUACAGACACCUUCUAUAGCAGUGGGUUUGACUCCAGGUCCUAGAUCUACUUUGCCUCCCAGCAAGACAGUGAGUCCUACAGAAGUUUCAACUGUUACUUCUACCUUUACCCCAGACACCACAGUGACACCAACUACCAGGUCGACUGUUUGCUGUACUUUUACCACUGACACCCCAGCGAGUCCAACUGAAAGAGUUCAAAGCUCCACAGAAAGUGAUGUGGAAUCAAACAGUCAAGAAAGCAUUCUGGUGGGGCAAUUAUGGCAGGCAGCAGUGGCUUCUGGAGUGGGCGUGCUCCUGGUAGGAUUGACAGCUGUCAGUCUCUGCAGGAGGACCAAGAAAACCAAUUCUCAGAGACCUACAGCCAGACAGGAUGAUCACAGACAAUAUGAAUUGGUGUCUAUGGGAGCGGUGAGCAGAGGAAUCAUGGUGGAUUCAGGAGAUGCUGGAAUCGAUUCUCAGAUCACUUCUGUACUGUUCACGUUCACGCCCUCAGGUAACGUUGAUGUGGAUACACAGGCAUUUGCAAAUAAACAUGUAAGUACAGCACAAAUAAUUGCAUGGAGUAUUCUUAUAUCGGUUGUACUAUUCAUUGUAUUAUAUUGUUAUAUUAUUAUUAUUAUUUAUAGCAUUGUUUUCACAGACAGACGGACUCGAGGAUACAAGUAUCUCUCUUUCUCUCACUGUGAUUUGACUUUCAGUUUAAGAUUGGUCUUACAUCCUCAUAAAAUACCCCUUAUGAAUUACAUUAACUGUACUGUAGAUUCGAAGCCCUAAAGUGAAUCUGUUUCUUUCCUCUAGUCUGACACUUACCAUGUAUACAGCUCAAUCCCCGACAGACCAGCAACCUCAGCCCAGCCGGAUGGGUUGUACAGUCUUCUGCAGACACACUGACACUACACCUCUGGCUUUCUGUAGCUAUGUCUCACACAAAUACAUUCUAUCUCACACGACAUCCAUUGUUUAUCACACAUCCAGUUACUGUAAAUAAGUUGCUUAACAGGUAAUAUAUCUACUGUAUUACACAUAGACAACUGGUUUCUGUUACAUGUCUAUCCAUAAUAUCUGUUACUGUGUUAAUAUAUAUAUAUAUUAUUUUUUAGGGGUCCAGGGGCAUAGUCCCCUUUGAGCAUUUUUCUUAUUUCUUUCCCCUAGUUAAUGCUAAAUCUACUGUAUUUAUGUAUUUUACGUUGACUGUGUGAUACCUCCUUCCAUAGCGGUUGGAUACAAUUAAUUUCCUGUUGGGCAAAACAUAAUCCAAAACACAACCAAAACAAACUGCAAAUGCAUCCAACAAGUUUGUUGAGUCACAAGCUUGAUGUAUUUAUUGGGUGCAAAGAAUCAAGGACCAAAAUACAAAAUGUUUGACUACCUUAAUACACUAUAAAUGAGUUUGUCCAAAUACUUGUGACUUUUUCAAAUGUGGGGACUAUAUAGAUAAAGUGCAUUUAUAUCAAAACGGUAAAACAUACAAUGCCUUCAGAAAGUCUUCACACCCCUUGACGAUUUCCACAUUUUGUUGUGUUACAGCCUGAAUUUAAAAUGUAUGAAAUUGAGAUUUUUUUUUGUAACUGGCCUACACACAAUACCCCAUAUCGGGGUGGCAGGUAAUCCAGUGGUUAGACCGUUGGACUAGUAAUCGAAAGGUUGCAAGAUCGAAUUCCCGAGCUGACAAGGUAAAAAUCUGCCGUUCUGUCCCUGAACAAGGCAGUUAACCCACUGUUCCUAGGCCGUCAUUGAAAAUAAGAAUUUGUUCUUAACUGACUUGCCUAGUUAAAUAAAGGUAAGGUCAAAGUGGAAUUAUGUAAAAAAAAAAAGAGUGUCAUUGAGUAUUUAACCCCUUUGUUUUGGAAAUCCAAAAUAAGUUCAGAAGUAAAAUUCUGCUUAACAAGUCGCAUAAUAUGUUGCAUGGACUCACUCUGUGUGCAAUAAUAGUGUUUAACAUGAUUUUUUAAUGGCCUCAUCUCUGUACCCCACACUUAUAAUUAUCUGUAAAGUCCAUCAGUCACGUAGUGAAUUUCAAACAUAGAUUCAACCAAAAAAACAGGGAGGUUGUCUAAUGCCUCACAAAGAAGGAAACUUAUUGUUUAAAAAAAGCAGACAUUGAAUAUCCCUUUGAGUAAGGUGAAGUUAUUAAUGGAUGGUUUAUCAAUAUACCCAGUCACAACAAAGAUAACGGCAUCAUUCCUAACUUAGUUGCCGAAGAGGAAGAAACCUGCUCAGAGUUUUCACCAUGAGGCCAAUGGUGACCUUAAAGCAGUUACAGAGUUUAAUGACGCUCAGCAGCACCUUCUCCACGCUGCUCUUCGUCGUCCUUCUCGCCUUCCUGUGGAGGAACUGGGAGGUCAUCUCGCAGUACCUGGAUCCCCUCCUGAUGUCCCCGAGUCGACCUACACGGGUGGGGCUCUCUUAAUGAGUGACGAAGGGAGGUGAUGGUGGGGCGGGGCUCCCUGAACAAUGAGGGACAGAGGCAGGGACUGGUGUGUGGGGGGGGGACUAACUAACAAACCCGUACACUGCCUCUGAUGCAUGUGGUGGAGCCAGGCAAGUACAAAGGGUGGGCUUAGCGGAAAGGAGGAGGAUGAUGAGGUGCCAGGAGAUCUGCACACUUACUUCUCUCUCUCUCAGAACUGUGAAAUUGUUUACACGUGGAAGAUGUUUUCUUGAUUUAGAAUUGAUUCAAGUGGUAUUGAAUUUGUUUCUUCUUAUUAUUGCAGUCAUUAAUGCAAAUGCUUGAGGGCUUUCUCUUGUGGCAGGAUUGGGAAGGUAAACAGCUGGCAUGUUGAUGAUCCACAUGGCUAGUGACUUCACCCUUUUUUUGAUCUCCUUUUCUCUACGUCCAAAAUCUCUUUCCUUUUCUCUCUUUAACCCUAAAAUCUCUCCUUUCUCCCUUUUCUUACUCCCAAUAUGGUCUCUUCCGUGUUUGUCUUCCUCUGCCCCUCUUCUCAAUCACCCCAGUCUUUGCCCAUUUCACCAAAUCGCUCUUCUUUCUGGGAGGAUUGAUGUGACUAGCUACAGUGCACUGUUGUGGACAAAAUCUAAUUCAUCACUGGAUCAAGCAAGUGAUGGGUUCUUGACUUGUUUCUAUUGGACGAGCUAAAUGCGACGUUGGGCUUGAUUGGAUCAGGACUGAGUCGGAAUAUGCUCAGCUUGACGCCUUGCACUCUUGGCCUGGCCUGUUGGAUCUGCCCCUGCUGAGACUAUAAACUAAUCUAUAAACUGAAUGAACAUACUUGAAGAGCUGUGAAACUGCUCAGACUUUCAGUGCUUCCGUACUGUUUCUAUUAGUGAAAAUGAAAUGUAAACUUUUUAUUUUUUUAAACAAAUAAACAUGCGGUUUUAAAAAUGAAGGAUUGAGUCAACAAACC